RNAcentral lists this ribosomal RNA (783 nucleotides) under uncultured Neocallimastigales. RNAcentral's name for it is "partial large subunit ribosomal RNA". It matches the Rfam family "Eukaryotic large subunit ribosomal RNA", at positions 23 to 628 of the family's 3401-position model. The record is from RNAcentral. Lineage: Eukaryota; Fungi; Neocallimastigomycota; Neocallimastigomycetes; Neocallimastigales.
AGAGAGAGACAUGCGCGCAUAUCAAUAAGCGGAGGAAAAGAAACUAACUAGGAUUCCCUCAGUAACGGCGAGUGAAGCGGGAAGAGCUCAAAUUUGAAAUCUUCAAGGUUCUACCUUGACGAAUUGUAGUUUAAAGAAGGUGUUUUCUGUUGGAGUUUUGGUAAAAGUUCUUUGGAAUAGGACAUCAUAGAGGGUGAGAAUCCCGUAUUUGACCAUUAUUCUUCCAGCUGUGUGAUACACUUUCAAAGAGUCGGAUUGUUUGGGAAUGCAGUCCAAAAUGGGUGGUAAAUUUCAUCUAAAGCUAAAUACUGGCGAGAGACCGAUAGCGAACAAGUACCGUGAGGGAAAGAUGAAAAGAACUUUGAAAAGAGAGUUAAACAGUACGUGAAAUUGUCAAAAGGGAAGCGUUUGACACCAGUGUUGUUUUCUCGAAAAUCAAUUAAAAAUGGGCCGGGAUGUUGUGUUGUAUUGACCUUAUAAGCUUUCUUGCACUCUUUUUCCUUGUCUUUUUUAAUGCACUUUUCGUUUAACAAGUCAACAUCAAUUUCUUUUGUUGUAAAAGGGUCAUUGGAAGGUGGCUUUCUUUUCGGAGAAAGUGUUUAUAGCCCUUGAUCUCUGCAACCGGAGAAACUGAGGUCUGCAGCGUAGACUCUUCGGGGCUAGAUACAGUUUGUGCUAAGCUAUAGCUUUUUAUAGACAACUUGUUGACUAUAUUUAGUCUUGUGGCUUACUCGCUUAUGCUAUUUUACCUACGCUUAGGAUGUUGACAGCAGUAUAGACUGU